UCCGGGGAUAACAGGCUUAUCUCCCCCAAGAGUUCACAUCGACGGGGAGGUUUGGCACCUCGAUGUCGGCUCAUCACAUCCUGGAGCUGGAGAAGGUUCCAAGGGUUGGGCUGUUCGCCCAUUAAAGUGGUACGUGAGCUGGGUUUAGAACGUCGUGAGACAGUUCGGUCUCUAUCCGCCGUGGGCGCAAGAUAUUUGAGGGAAUCUGCUUCUAGUACGAGAGGACCGAAGUGGACGAACCUCUGGUGUACCAGUUGUUCCAUCAGGAGCACGGCUGGGUAGCUAUGUUCGGUCCGGAUAAGCGCUGAAAGCAUAUAAGCGCGAAACCGAUCCCAAGAUUAGAUAUCUCUAACAUAAGUUAAUAAGGCUCGUUGUAGACUACGACGUUGAUAGGCUGCAGGUGUAAGUGUAGUAAUACAUUCAGCUGAGCAGUACUAAUAAGCCGAACGGCUUUACCAA
RNAcentral lists this ribosomal RNA (459 nucleotides) under Fidelibacterota bacterium. Its description in RNAcentral is "partial 23S ribosomal RNA". It matches the Rfam family "Bacterial large subunit ribosomal RNA", at positions 2467 to 2925 of the family's 2925-position model. The record is from RNAcentral. Lineage: Bacteria; Pseudomonadati; Fidelibacterota.